RNAcentral lists this ribosomal RNA (276 nucleotides) under uncultured Glomus. RNAcentral describes it as "partial 18S ribosomal RNA". It matches the Rfam family "Eukaryotic small subunit ribosomal RNA", at positions 624 to 886 of the family's 1831-position model. The record is from RNAcentral. Lineage: Eukaryota; Fungi; Glomeromycota; Glomeromycetes; Glomerales; Glomeraceae.
AAGCUCGUAGUUGAAUUUCGGGAUUGACGUGUGAUGGUCGUGUGCCUUAAGGAGGGGGUAUGAACUGUUGCUGUUGAUUUCUCACCUUCUGGAGAAACUUGGAUGUCCUUAAUUUUGGGUGUCUUGCGGAUCCAGGACCUUUACCUUGAAAAAAUUAGAGUGUUUAAAGCAGGCAUUUUUGCUCGAAUACAUUAGCAUGGAAUAAUAGAAUAGGACGGCAUGGUUCUAUUUUGUUGGUUUCUAGGAUCACCGUAAUGAUUAAUAGGGAUAGUUGGG